This 244-nucleotide microRNA precursor is filed under the name Amborella trichopoda. RNAcentral's name for it is "MIR8562 microRNA precursor family". It matches the Rfam family "MIR8562 microRNA precursor family". The record is from Rfam by way of RNAcentral. Lineage: Eukaryota; Viridiplantae; Streptophyta; Magnoliopsida; Amborellales; Amborellaceae.
AUUUCUACAAAUCAGAAUGAUCUGAAAUUUGGAGCGUGUGUUCGUCAAAAAUAAGAGAAUCUGAUAAAAAUAUAAAAAAAUAAUAAUUCAUAAAAUAUAAAUUGACCAAAAUACCCCUGAAAAUUUACGGGGGCAUUUUGGUCUAUUAAUAUUUUGUGAAAUAUUUUUUUCAUAUUUUUAUUAGGUGCGUCUCACUAAGAUGUACACACACUCCAAAUUUUAGAUCAUUCCGAUUUAUAGAAAA